This 406-nucleotide long non-coding RNA is filed under the name Homo sapiens (human). Its description in RNAcentral is "HSALNT0150855". Lineage: Eukaryota; Metazoa; Chordata; Mammalia; Primates; Hominidae. The record is from RNAcentral.
UUUUUAAAAAGCGUCAUGCCCUAGUCUGAUGCAGCCCCCGCACCAGGCCCUAUAUGGGAGCAAGGUGAGCAAGGGCUCAGGGGAAGCCACUCCCCUCCCCUUGGUCUGCUACAAAUUGCCCAGGUCCUGCCCUCAGACUCCUAGCAGUUGAAAAUUGUUGAACUUGGUUGCUCCAACGAGCUUCUUCCAGAUCUUCAGUGUAAUAGACACAGCCAAUCUGGAUUGAGGACUGGAGUCUACACCGCCGUGAACCACUGGAGUUGUCAGAUGAAGGUGGCAGAAUGGAGAGAAGUAUCAGGCAUAAGCUACAGUCAUAUAAACCUUGAUACAGAUGUGAAUUGAUCCAGCCAUUCCAACUAAUGUGGAUCAGAGACCAACCACUCAGCCAACCUCAUUCAGAAUUCCC